RNAcentral lists this ribosomal RNA (253 nucleotides) under uncultured bacterium. RNAcentral describes it as "partial 16S ribosomal RNA". It matches the Rfam family "Bacterial small subunit ribosomal RNA", at positions 524 to 776 of the family's 1533-position model. The record is from RNAcentral.
UACGUAGGGUGCAAGCGUUAAUCGGAAUUACUGGGCGUAAAGCGUGCGCAGGCGGCUUUGCAAGACAGAUGUGAAAUCCCCGGGCUUAACCUGGGAACUGCAUUUGUGACUGCAUGGCUGGAGUGCGGCAGAGGGGGAUGGAAUUCCGCGUGUAGCAGUGAAAUGCGUAGAUAUGCGGAGGAACACCGAUGGCGAAGGCAAUCCCCUUGGCCUGCACUGACGCUCAUGCACGAAAGCGUGGGGAGCAAACAGG